UACACACCGCCCGUCACACCAUGGGAGCUGACUCAACCAGAAAACGGACUCAUUAACCGCAAGGGGAUGAUCGUUGAAGGUGGGGUUGGUGACUGGGGUG
Molecule: ribosomal RNA, 100 nt
Filed under: uncultured bacterium
Lineage: Bacteria
Description: partial 16S ribosomal RNA
Rfam family: Bacterial small subunit ribosomal RNA
Source: RNAcentral